GAUGAACGCUAGCUACAGGCUUAACACAUGCAAGUCGAGGGGAACGAUAUUGGAAGCUUGCUUCCGAUAGGCGUCGACCGGCGCACGGGUGAGUAACGCGUAUCCAACCUGCCCACCACUUGGGGAUAACCUUGCGAAAGUAAGACUAAUACCCAAUGACGUCUCUAGAAGACAUCUGAAAGAGAUUAAAGAUUUAUCGGUGAUGGAUGGGGAUGUGUCUGAUUAGUUUGUUGGCGGGGUAACGGCCCACCAAGGCGACGAUCAGUAGGGGUUCUGAGAGGAAGGUCCCCACAUUGGAACUGAGACACGGUCCAAACUCCUACGGGAGGCAGCAGUGAGGAAUAUUGGUCAAUGGGCGAGAGCCUGAACCAGCCAAGUAGCGUGCAGGAUGACGGCCCUAUGGGUUGUAAACUGCUUUUAUAAGGGAAUAAAGUGAGCCUCGUGAGGCUUUUUGCAUGUACCUUAUGAAUAAGGACCGGCUAAUUCCGUG
This 490-nucleotide ribosomal RNA is filed under the name uncultured bacterium. Its description in RNAcentral is "bacterial SSU rRNA". It matches the Rfam family "Bacterial small subunit ribosomal RNA", at positions 28 to 507 of the family's 1533-position model. The record is from RNAcentral.